Hemibagrus wyckioides is the source of this 678-nucleotide long non-coding RNA. RefSeq lists it as uncharacterized. NCBI's taxonomy places the organism in Eukaryota, Metazoa, Chordata, Actinopteri, Siluriformes, Bagridae. The transcript has 2 exons. The record is from RefSeq and is a predicted model, not a curated record.
CAUCAGGAACACAGAGAGCCACAACCAGUAAAGAUUCACCUGGUGCUGACUUUGUGGAUAAAUACAAAGCAGAUCUCAUUCAGAGCGUUCCUUCAGUAAUGGAGAUAGCAGACUGUAUCAAAAGCAAGGAAUUUACUAGUGAAAUGUACAAUAAGAUCCAUGCAGAGGCAACACCACAAGACAAAAUGAGAGAAUUGUACAAAUAUCUCAACUCAGCAGGACGAGCUGCAAAAGCUGAAUUCGAUCACAUUCUUCCGAGAGAAACAUCGCGAUUUAGUGACAGAGCUGGAGUCAGGAUCUGGUCUGCAUUAGUGGAGGUUUAUCAGAGUAAAUCACAGGCAGACAGGGGUCUAGCCCCAAUUCUUGGGCCCUAUGCAAAGACAGUGUGUGGGGGCCCCUUUCCCAUCAUCUCAUGAUCCAUGCCAUUUAUCACUUAAAAAAAACAAAAAAAAAAUAGUACACAUUUCACUCACUAAUAGAGUAACUGCUGACAAUCACUGACAUAAAAUAAAAAAGAACAGUAUUAAAAAUACAAAUGUGUAUAGUAUAAAAAAUUAUUUGUAGUCAUGUUAAUGCAGCACAGAAUUAUUUUCAUGUAUGAAUUGUUCUAUAUCUGGGGUAGGCAGCAUGUCCUGUAGACUUUAGUCCCAACCAUAAUAAAGUAUUUUCUUUUCUUUU